This 253-nucleotide unclassified non-coding RNA is filed under the name uncultured Moraxellaceae bacterium. RNAcentral describes it as "contains 16S-23S intergenic spacer region". It matches the Rfam family "Bacterial small subunit ribosomal RNA", at positions 524 to 776 of the family's 1533-position model. Lineage: Bacteria; Pseudomonadati; Pseudomonadota; Gammaproteobacteria; Moraxellales; Moraxellaceae. The record is from RNAcentral.
UACAGAGGGUGCAAGCGUUAAUCGGAAAUACUGGGCGUAAAGCGUGCGUAGGCGGCUUUUUAAGUCGGAUGUGAAAUCCCCGAGCUUAACUUGGGAAUUGCAUUCGCUACUGGGAAGCUAGAGUAUGGGAGAGGAUGGUAGAAAUCCAGGUGUAGCGGUGAAAUGCGUAGAUAUCAGGGGGAAUACCGAUGGCGAAGGCAGCCAUCUGGCCUAAUACUGACGCUGAGGUACGAAAGCAUGGGGAGCAAACAGG